RNAcentral lists this ribosomal RNA (468 nucleotides) under uncultured bacterium. Its description in RNAcentral is "partial 16S ribosomal RNA". It matches the Rfam family "Bacterial small subunit ribosomal RNA", at positions 28 to 507 of the family's 1533-position model. The record is from RNAcentral.
GACGAACGCUGGCGGCGUGCUUAACACAUGCAAGUCGAACGGAAAGGCCCUGCUUUUGUGGGGUGCUCGAGUGGCGAACGGGUGAGUAACACGUGAGUAACCUGCCCUUGACUUUGGGAUAACUUCAGGAAACUGGGGCUAAUACCGGAUAGGAGCUCCUGCUGCAUGGUGGGGGUUGGAAAGUUUCGGCGGUUGGGGAUGGACUCGCGGCUUAUCAGCUUGUUGGUGGGGUAGUGGCUUACCAAGGCUUUGACGGGUAGCCGGCCUGAGAGGGUGAACGGGCACAUGGGGACUACGAUACGGACCAGACUCGUACGGGAGGCAGCAGUGGGGAAUAUUGCACAAUGGGCGGAAGUCUGAUGCAGAAACGCCGCGUGCGGGAUGCCGGCCUUCGGGUUGUAAACAGCUGUCGCCUGUGACGAAGCGUGAGUGACGGUAAUGGGUAAAGAAGCACCGGCUAACUACGUG